AGAGUUUGAUCAUGGCUCAGGAUGAACGCUGGCGGCGUGCUUAACACAUGCAAGUCGAACGCUCGCAAGAGAGUGGCGCACGGGUGAGGAACACGUAGCUAACCUGCCUUCGGGUCUGGGAUAACGUUCCGAAAGGAACGCUAAGACCGGAUAAGCUCACAAGUUGUAGAGACUGGUGAGAAAAGGGGUAAGACGCCGGAAGAGGGGGCUGCGGCGCAUCAGGUAGUUGGUGAGGUAAAGGCUCACCAAGCCAACGACGCGUAGGGGGUCUGAGAGGAUGAUCCCCCACACUGGGACUGAGACACGGCCCAGACUCCUACGGGAGGCAGCAGUGAGGAAUAUUGCACAAUGGGGGCAACCCUGAUGCAGCGACGCCGCGUGGGUGAUGAAGGCCUUCGGGUCGUAAAGCCCUUUUGCCACUGACGAGAGAGGACGGUAGGUGGCGAAUAAGCCUCGGCUAACUACGUGCCAGCAGCCGCGGUAAUUC
This 487-nucleotide ribosomal RNA is filed under the name uncultured bacterium. RNAcentral's name for it is "bacterial SSU rRNA". It matches the Rfam family "Bacterial small subunit ribosomal RNA", at positions 8 to 526 of the family's 1533-position model. The record is from RNAcentral.